GACGAACGCUGGCGGCGUGCUUAACACAUGCAAGUCGAACGGAAAGGCCCUGCUUUUGUGGGGUGCUCGAGUGGCGAACGGGUGAGUAACACGUGAGUAACCUGCCCUUGACUUUGGGAUAACUUCAGGAAACUGGGGCUAAUACCGGAUAGGAGCUCCUGCUGCAUGGUGGGGGUUGGAAAGUUUCGGCGGUUGGGGAUGGACUCGCGGCUUAUCAGCUUGUUGGUGGGGUAGUGGCUUACCAAGGCUUUGACGGGUAGCCGGCCUGAGAGGGUGACCGGCCACAUUGGGACUGAGAGACGGACCAGAAUCCUACGGGAGGCAGCAGUGGGGAAUAUUGCACAAUGGGGGGAAGCCUGAUGCAGCAGCGCCGCGUGCGGGAUGACGGCCUUCGGGUUGUAAACCGCUUUCGCCUGUGACGAAGCGUGAGUGACGGUAAUGGGUAAAGAAGCACCGGCUAACUACGUG
Molecule: ribosomal RNA, 468 nt
Filed under: uncultured bacterium
Lineage: Bacteria
Description: partial 16S ribosomal RNA
Rfam family: Bacterial small subunit ribosomal RNA
Source: RNAcentral